AUACUCGUGCUAUCCUUAGAGAUAAGGAGUUCCUUCGGGACACGGGAUACAGGUGGUGCAUGGUUGUCGUCAGCUCGUGUCGUGAGAUGUUGGGUUAAGUCCCGCAACGAGCGCAACCCUUAUUACUAGUUGCCAUCAUUAAGUUGGGCACUCUAGUGAGACUGCCGGUGAUAAACCGGAGGAAGGUGGGGAUGACGUCAAAUCAUCAUGCCCCUUAUGACCUGGGCUACACACGUGCUACAAUGGAUGGUACAACGAGUCGCCAACCCGCGAGGGUGCGCUAAUCUCUUAAAACCAUUCUCAGUUCGGAUUGCAGGCUGCAACUCGCCUGCAUGAAGUCGGAAUCGCUAGUAAUCGCGGAUCAGC
Molecule: ribosomal RNA, 366 nt
Filed under: Lactococcus garvieae
Lineage: Bacteria; Bacillati; Bacillota; Bacilli; Lactobacillales; Streptococcaceae
Description: bacterial SSU rRNA
Rfam family: Bacterial small subunit ribosomal RNA
Source: RNAcentral